This 614-nucleotide long non-coding RNA is filed under the name Homo sapiens (human). RNAcentral describes it as "HSALNT0348789". The record is from RNAcentral. Lineage: Eukaryota; Metazoa; Chordata; Mammalia; Primates; Hominidae.
CCAAACUACAGACUAAGUUUUUUUAAAGUUACCUCUCUGAUCAGCAUUUCAGGAUUACUAUGAAGAUCAAAUUAAAUUACAUGUGGCAGUGUCUAGCUUGGAGUUUGGUGUAUAUUGAUGUCAAUUGCAUAUUCCUAAUUCAUACUUUCUUCUCUCCGUUUCAUAAAUAUUUGUUUUCCAGGUAUCACAGAAAGAAUUGAAAGGCAAGGUUGUCAGACAGAUAUGGCAGCUAAGACACCAACUGAGGAAUGUUAUCAAUGUAGCUCCGUGAAAUUGCCAUAUUUUACAUCCUGCAGUUCUGCAGUCAAGUGGUGGUAUUUUUGUCACAGCCCACAUCAAAGCCCAGAUGGCAUGAGGGAGGGAUGGAAAUGGGGCUCCAUAACCCUCAGGAACUCUGAAGAUUUCAUCUCCUAAGUGGAGCCAGAAUCCAGACGCUGGGAAAUGUGAAUGUUCCAAUAUGGCUGACCAUCAUGGAAUGGGAUCAACAGAUGGAAAUAGGAGGCUUCAUCUUCUUCAUCUUGGUCCUGAGGCUCCAUCAGCCAGGUUUCCAGCACACAUUAAACCCAGGUAUAACAACGACAUGGCCCAGAUUUUUCAAUCUUCAUUUCAAAAGU